CCAGCUAAGAGGGCGCUGCCCAGAAAUCCUGGUGACAGAUGGUGGGCCCUGUGGGUGAAGCCUGUGUGCCCUUGUUGUCCUGCAGAGGGAACAAGCAGGACGAGGAGGAGAACCAGGCUUUCUCAGUUGUCCUCUCUUCCUGAAUCCAUCUGUGGUGUCAACCAGUCAUGGAUGCAGGAGACUCUGAAGUUAAGCCCAGCAGCACCACACUGAACAUCCUGAGGAAGAGACCUGAAUACUUAAAGCCCCAAAACCUUGCCUCCAAAAAC
RNAcentral lists this long non-coding RNA (269 nucleotides) under Equus asinus (donkey). Its description in RNAcentral is "lncRNA (ENSEASG00005035341.1)". The record is from RNAcentral. Lineage: Eukaryota; Metazoa; Chordata; Mammalia; Perissodactyla; Equidae.